Molecule: long non-coding RNA, 801 nt
Filed under: Cucumis sativus (cucumber)
Lineage: Eukaryota; Viridiplantae; Streptophyta; Magnoliopsida; Cucurbitales; Cucurbitaceae
Description: long non-coding RNA (CSAT_LNC001432)
Source: RNAcentral
GGGAAAACAUGCAAAAUAGAGAUUUUCCAAAUCCUGCAACUGGACCUAACAUGAGUGCACCAGCUCCAGGUGGUAUGCCUCCCAACAACUUUAAUCCCAGCAUGCCUCCUCACAACCGCCAAGGCGAUUAUCCAGGAGGACCACCACCUCCGAACAAUUUUAACAGACCACCACCGCCACCACCGCACAACUACAGCGGACCACCACCACCACCACCACACAACUUCAGCGGACCACCACCACCACCACCACACAACUUCAGCGGACCACCACCACCACCACCGCACAACUUCAACGGACCACCACCACCACCACCGCACAACUUCAACGGACCACCACCACCACCGUACAACUUCAACGGGCCACCACCUCCUCCACCAAACAACUUCAACGGACCACCACCUCCUCCACCGAACAACUUCAACGGACCACCACCACGCAACUAUGCUUCAGCAUCACCAAAUCACGGAGGAGGAGGAGGAGGAGCACCCCACAACUAUGGGGGGCCACAGGAAAACAACUAUUGGGGAGCACAGCAGCCAAACAACUAUGGUGGACCUUCAAACUCUGGCCGGGGACCUGCAUAGAACAACUACUAUGAAGGGGUAAAAAAAGGCUAAUGGUGGUGGAUGGUCUAAUAUGUGCAUAAAAAUCAAGAAGAAUAGUCUAGGCGGUCAGGGUAGUCUAACGGUGGUGGCUGGUCACUGCAUUUUCGUUUUGGUGCUACAAACGAUGAGUUUAAUUUUGCUUUAUGAGUCGGCAUUUGUUUAAAAUCUGUUUAAGUCUUGUGUACAAUUUAAU